GUCUGCGGCCACGCUGCCCUGAACAAACCUGAUCCCGUAUGAUCUCGGAAGCUAAGCAGGUUUGGGCCUAGUUAGUACUUUGAUGGGAGACCACCUACAAAGUCCAGGUGCUGUAGGUA
This 119-nucleotide ribosomal RNA is filed under the name Pteropus alecto (black flying fox). The record is from RNAcentral. Lineage: Eukaryota; Metazoa; Chordata; Mammalia; Chiroptera; Pteropodidae.